This 743-nucleotide ribosomal RNA is filed under the name uncultured Methanosarcina sp. RNAcentral describes it as "bacterial SSU rRNA". It matches the Rfam family "Archaeal small subunit ribosomal RNA", at positions 110 to 856 of the family's 1478-position model. Lineage: Archaea; Methanobacteriati; Methanobacteriota; Methanomicrobia; Methanosarcinales; Methanosarcinaceae. The record is from RNAcentral.
UGCCCUCGGGUGGGGAAUAAACUCGCGAAAGUGAGGCUAAUACCCCAUAGGCACAAGAGGCUGGAAUGCAUCUGUGCCCAAAGCUCCGGCGCCCGAAGAUGACUCUGCGGCCUAUCAGGUAAUACUCAGGGUCAAGACCUGACUACCCAGCGACGGGUACGGGCCUUGAGAGAGGUCGCCCGGAGAUGGACUCUGACACACGACUCCAGGCCCUACGGGGCGCAACAGGCGCGAAAACUUCACAAUGCAAGAAACUGUGACGAGGGAACUCCAAGUGUCCAUGCAUUGCAUGGACUGUUUGCCACCCUAAAAAGCUGGUAGAGUAAGGGGUGGGAAAGACCGGUGCCAGCCGCCGCGGUAACACCGGCACCUCAAGUGGUACCCACUAUUAUUGGGCCUAAAGCGUUCGUACCCGGCUUGGUUAAUUCCUGGGUAAAUCGUACCGCUCAACGGUGCAGACUCCGGGGACACUGCCACGCUUGACACCGGGAGAGAUCAGAGGUACUUGCGGGGGAGCGGAGAAAUGUUGUAAUCCCGCAGGGACCACCAAUGGAGAACGCAUCUGAUCAAAACGGCUCUGACGGUGAGGGACGAAACCCUGGGGCGCAAACGGGAUUAGAUACCCCGGUAGUCCAGGGCGUAAACGCUGCAGACUUGGUGUUGGGGGCCCUGAGAGGGCGUCCAGUGCCGGCACGAAGGUAUUGAGUCAGCCGCCUGGGGAGUACGGUCGCAAGACUGAAACU